GACAAGGUUACCCUCUCUCUCUCAUACCGCUUGACGAGUGAAGCUUGCCCAACGAGACAAGAUUUCUCCGCCCUAAUCGAUCACUGGAAUCCCCCAAACCGUCGGCGUCGUAGAUCAGGUUAAAUGUCUAUAUAAGAAGCACGGAUGGGUCAUGUGAGAAUGUGGAACAUGCUGAGUAAUGUUACCCAAAAUGUGGAUGCAACAGCUGUUGUUCUUUUGUAUCAAAAGUUGGCAGGUAAAUAAUAUUUGUUAUCGUGUAGUUUAUUCCUAACUUUACAUUUUGUAAGCAUUGUGGUACUUCUAUCCAUGCUUGUAUUACUUAUUUAUGGUCUUAUAGCUGCAAUUACCAAUUGAUGGAGGAAUUCACAUUUGACUAGAUGUUUCAAAGUCAGAAUAUGAUGACUGCACUACAUCCGAUGAUUUUACAUUGUUUCAUGGUUAUUUUUUACAUGUCCAUCCACAAUAGAUGGUGGUGGUGGUAGAAUAGGUUAGAAGGUGGUGAGGUGAAUAUUUUAAUUAUUCGUAAACUGAGUAUUACGCCUUUUGGAGGGUGUUCCUUUUGGAGCCAUUUGACAUGUA
This is a non-coding RNA of Amborella trichopoda, 579 nucleotides long. The record is from RefSeq and is a predicted model, not a curated record. Lineage: Eukaryota; Viridiplantae; Streptophyta; Magnoliopsida; Amborellales; Amborellaceae.